Molecule: ribosomal RNA, 465 nt
Filed under: uncultured Klebsiella sp.
Lineage: Bacteria; Pseudomonadati; Pseudomonadota; Gammaproteobacteria; Enterobacterales; Enterobacteriaceae
Description: bacterial SSU rRNA
Rfam family: Bacterial small subunit ribosomal RNA
Source: RNAcentral
CCUACGGGGGGCUGCAGUGGGGAAUAUUGCACAAUGGGCACAAGCCCGAUGCAGCCAUGCCGCGUGUGUGAAGAAGGCCUUCGGGUUGUAAAGCACUUUCGGCGGGGAGGAAGGCGUUAAGGUUAAUAACCUUGUCGAUUGACGUUACCCGCAGAAGAAGCACCGGCUAACUCCGUGCCAGCAGCCGCGGUAAUACGGAGGGUGCAAGCGUUAAUCGGAAUUACUGGGCGUAAAGCGCACGCAGGCGGUCUGUCAAGUCGGAUGUGAAAUCCCCGGGCUCAACCUGGGAACUGCAUUCGAAACUGGCAGGCUAGAGUCUUGUAGAGGGGGGUAGAAUUCCAGGUGUAGCGGUGAAAUGCGUAGAGAUCUGGAGGAAUACCGGUGGCGAAGGCGGCCCCCUGGACAAAGACUGACGCUCAGGUGCGAAAGCGUGGGGAGCAAACAGGAUUAGAUACCCCAGUAGUC